AUAAUACUCCAUAGAUUAGAGACACUGGAAUGUUCUUUAGUCGAAAGUUCUGGCGCCUUAGGAUGGAUCUGCGGUCGAUUAGGUUGUUGUUGGGGUAACGGCCCAACAAGCCUGUAAUCGAUACGGGUUGUGGGAGCAAGAGCCCGGAGAUGGAAUCUGAGACACGAUUCCAGGCCCUACGGGGCGCAGCAGGCGCGAAAACUUUACAAUGCAGGAAACUGUGAUAAGGGAACUCCGAGUGCCCGUAUACGCGGGCUGUCCAGGUGUUUAAAAAUCAUCUGAAGAAAGGGCCGGGCGAGACCGGUGCCAGCCGCCGCGGUAAUACCGGCGGCUCGAGUGGUGGCCACUAUUAUUGGGCUUAAAGCGUCCGUAGCUGGACCGAUAAGUCUCUUGGGAAAUCCGCCGGCUCAACCGGCGGGCGUCUAAGGGAUACUGUUAGUCUAGGGACCGGGAGAGGUGAGAGGUACUCCGGGGGUAGGAGUGAAAUCCUGUAAUCCCCGGGGGACCACCGAUGGCGAAGGCAUCUCACCAGAACGGCUCCGACAGUGAGGGACGAAAGCUGGGGGAGCGAACCGGAUUAAAUACCCGGGUAGUCCCAGCCGUAAACGAUGUGCGUUAGGUGU
This 623-nucleotide ribosomal RNA is filed under the name uncultured archaeon. RNAcentral describes it as "bacterial SSU rRNA". It matches the Rfam family "Archaeal small subunit ribosomal RNA", at positions 146 to 774 of the family's 1478-position model. The record is from RNAcentral.